CAGUCGCCGCGGUAACACCGAGGGUGCAAGCGUUAAUCGGAAUUACUGGGCGUAAAGCGCGCGUAGGUGGUUUGUUAAGUUGGAUGUGAAAUCCCCGGGCUCAACCUGGGAACUGCAUCCAAAACUGGCAAGCUAGAGUAUGGUAGAGGGUGGUGGAAUUUCCUGUGUAGCGGUGAAAUGCGUAGAUAUAGGAAGGAACACCAGUGGCGAAGGCGACCACCUGGACUGAUACUGACACUGAGGUGCGAAAGCGUGGGGAGCAAACAGGAUUAGAUACCCCUGUAGUCCCUGUCUCUUAUAA
RNAcentral lists this ribosomal RNA (301 nucleotides) under uncultured bacterium. RNAcentral's name for it is "partial 16S ribosomal RNA". It matches the Rfam family "Bacterial small subunit ribosomal RNA", at positions 509 to 809 of the family's 1533-position model. The record is from RNAcentral.